AUCGGGGUAUGAUGAGCCCGCGUUGGAUUAGCUAGUUGGUGGGGUAAAGGCCUACCAAGGCGACGAUCCAUAGCUGGUCUGAGAGGAUGAUCAGCCACAUUGGGACUGAGACACGGCCCAAACUCCUACGGGAGGCAGCAGUGGGGAAUAUUGGACAAUGGGCGCAAGCCUGAUCCAGCCAUGCCGCGUGAGUGAUGAAGGCCUUAGGGUUGUAAAGCUCUUUCAACGGUGAAGAUAAUGACGGUAACCGUAGAAGAAGCCCCGGCUAACUUCGUGCCA
Molecule: ribosomal RNA, 279 nt
Filed under: Rhizobiaceae bacterium
Lineage: Bacteria; Pseudomonadati; Pseudomonadota; Alphaproteobacteria; Hyphomicrobiales; Rhizobiaceae
Description: partial 16S ribosomal RNA
Rfam family: Bacterial small subunit ribosomal RNA
Source: RNAcentral